AACGAACGCUGGCGGCAGGCUUAACACAUGCAAGUCGAACGCCCCGCAAGGGGAGUGGCAGACGGGUGAGUAACGCGUGGGAAUCUACCCAGUUCUACGGAACAACUGAGGGAAACUUCAGCUAAUACCGUAUACGCCCUACGGGGAAAGAUUUAUCGGAAUUGGAUGAGCCCGCGUUGGAUUAGCUAGUUGGUGAGGUAACGGCUCACCAAGGCGACGAUCCAUAGCUGGUCUGAGAGGAUGAUCAGCCACACUGGGACUGAGACACGGCCCAGACUCCUACGGGAGGCAGCAGUGGGGAAUAUUGGACAAUGGGCGCAAGCCUGAUCCAGCCAUGCCGCGUGAGUGAUGAAGGCCUUAGGGUUGUAAAGCUCUUUCAGUGGGGACGAUAAUGACGGUACCCACAGAAGAAGCCCCGGCUAACUACGUG
This 430-nucleotide ribosomal RNA is filed under the name uncultured bacterium. RNAcentral's name for it is "bacterial SSU rRNA". It matches the Rfam family "Bacterial small subunit ribosomal RNA", at positions 29 to 507 of the family's 1533-position model. The record is from RNAcentral.